UUAAAUGAAUUGACGGGGAGCACCACGAACGGGUGGAGCUUGCGGUUUAAUUGGAUUCAACGCCGGAAAUCUUACCGGGACCGACAGCAAUAUGAAGGCCAGGCUGAAGACUUUGCCGGAUUAGCUGAGAGGUGGUGCAUGGCCGUCGUCAGUUCGUACUGUGAAGCAUCCUGUUAAGUCAGGCAACGAGCGAGACCCACGCCCACAGCUGCCAGCGUACUCUCUGGAGUGACGGGUACACUGUGGGACCGCCGCUGCUAAAGCGGAGGAAGGAAUGGGCAACGGUAGGUCAGUAUGCCCCGAAUAUCCCGGGCUACACGCGAGCUACAAUGGUUGGUACAAUGGGUAUCUACCCCGAAAGGGGACGGGAAUCUCCUAAAACCAAUCUUAAUUCGGAUUGAGGGCUGCAACUCGCCCUCAUGAAGCUGGAAUCCGUAGUAAUCGCGUUUCAACAGAACGCGGUGAAUACGUCCCUGCUCCUU
This 482-nucleotide ribosomal RNA is filed under the name uncultured Methanosaeta sp. Its description in RNAcentral is "bacterial SSU rRNA". It matches the Rfam family "Archaeal small subunit ribosomal RNA", at positions 856 to 1338 of the family's 1478-position model. The record is from RNAcentral. Lineage: Archaea; Methanobacteriati; Methanobacteriota; Methanomicrobia; Methanotrichales; Methanotrichaceae.